UACAGGGGGGGCAAGCGUUGUUCGGAAUUACUGGGCGUAAAGGGCUCGUAGGCGGCCAACUAAGUCACACGUGAAAUCCCCAGGCUUAACCUGGGAACUGCGUGUGAUACUGGAUGGCUUGAAUCCGGGAGAGGGAUGCGGAAUUCCAGGUGUAGCGGUGAAAUGCGUAGAUAUCUGGAGGAACACCGGUGGCGAAGGCGGCAUCCUGGACCGGCAUUGACGCUGAGGAGCGAAAGCCAGGGGAGCAAACGGG
This 253-nucleotide ribosomal RNA is filed under the name uncultured bacterium. RNAcentral describes it as "partial 16S ribosomal RNA". It matches the Rfam family "Bacterial small subunit ribosomal RNA", at positions 524 to 776 of the family's 1533-position model. The record is from RNAcentral.